RNAcentral lists this non-coding RNA (26 nucleotides) under Rattus norvegicus (Norway rat). The record is from RNAcentral. Lineage: Eukaryota; Metazoa; Chordata; Mammalia; Rodentia; Muridae.
UAGCCACCAAUAACUGAUUCCAGGGG